This 914-nucleotide ribosomal RNA is filed under the name uncultured Candidatus Poseidoniales archaeon. RNAcentral's name for it is "bacterial SSU rRNA". It matches the Rfam family "Archaeal small subunit ribosomal RNA", at positions 1 to 922 of the family's 1478-position model. Lineage: Archaea; Methanobacteriati; Thermoplasmatota; Candidatus Poseidoniia; Candidatus Poseidoniales. The record is from RNAcentral.
UUCCGGUUGAUCCUGCCGGAGGCGACCGCUGUGGGAGUCCGAUUAAGCCAUGCGAGUCGAGAGAAUUAGAUUCUCGGCAUACCGCUCAGUAACACGUGGAUAACCUGCCCUGUGCUGGGGGAUAACCUCGCGAAAGUGAGAACAAUACCCCAUGGGUCACUACGCCUGGAACGGUGAGUGGCUGAAAGCUCCGGCGGCACAGGAUGGGUCUGCGGCGUAUCAGGUUGUAGGGGGUGUAACGGACCUCCUAGCCUUCAACGCGUACGGGUUGUGAGAGCAAUUGCCCGGAGAUGGAUUCUGAGACACGAAUCCAGGCCCUACGGGGCGCAGCAGGCGCGAAAACUUGACAAUGCGAGAAAUCGUGAUCAGGGGACUCCAGUUGGCUGGACCAAAAGUCCAGUCUGAACCGACUUUAAAUCGGUCGGGUAAUAGGGGCGGGAAAGACCGGUGCCAGCCGCCGCGGUAAUACCGGCGCCCCAAGUGGUCGUCACUAUUAUUGGGCCUAAAACGUCCGUAGCCGGUUUGGUAAAUCCGUGGGUAAAUCAGACAGCCUAACUGUCUGAAUUCUGCGGGGACUGCCAAACUUGAGACCGGGAGAGGUACGGGGUACCUGCGGGGUAGCGGUAAAAUGCGAUCAUCCCGUAGGGACCACCUGUUGCGAAGGCGCCGUACUAGAACGGAUCUGACGGUCAGGGACGAAGCCUAGGGGCACGAACCGGAUUAGAUACCCGGGUAGUCCUAGGUGUAAACGCUGUGGACUUGGUGUCGGGAAUCUCUAGAGGAUUCUCGGUGCCGUAGUGAAGAUGUUUAGUCCACUGCCUGGGGAGUACGGUCGCAAGGCUGAAACUUAAAGGAAUUGGCGGGGGAGCACUGCAACGAGAGGAGCGUGCGGUUUAAUUGGAUUCAACGCCGGG